UUUAAAUUGAGAGUUUGAUCCUGGCUCAGGACGAACGCUGGCGGCGUGCCUAACACAUGCAAGUCGAGCGAUGAAACUUCCUUCGGGGAGUGGAUUAGCGGCGGACGGGUGAGUAACACGUGGGUAACCUGCCUCAAAGAGGGGGAUAGCCUCCCGAAAGGGAGAUUAAUACCGCAUAACAUUAUUUUAUGGCAUCAUAGAAUAAUCAAAGGAGCAAUCCGCUUUGAGAUGGACCCGCGGCGCAUUAGCUAGUUGGUGAGGUAAGGGCUCACCAAGGCGACGAUGCGUAGCCGACCUGAGAGGGUGAUCGGCCACAUUGGAACUGAGACACGGUCCAGACUCCUACGGGAGGCAGCAGUGGGGAAUAUUGCGCAAUGGGGGAAACCCUGACGCAGCAACGCCGCGUGAGUGAUGAAGGUUUUCGGAGCGUAAAACUCUGUCUUUAGGGACGAUAAUGACGGUACCUAAGGAGGAAGCCACGGCUAACUACGUGCCAGCAGCCGCGGUAAU
Molecule: ribosomal RNA, 510 nt
Filed under: Clostridium botulinum C
Lineage: Bacteria; Bacillati; Bacillota; Clostridia; Eubacteriales; Clostridiaceae
Description: bacterial SSU rRNA
Rfam family: Bacterial small subunit ribosomal RNA
Source: RNAcentral